Molecule: long non-coding RNA, 32028 nt
Filed under: Citrus sinensis (sweet orange)
Lineage: Eukaryota; Viridiplantae; Streptophyta; Magnoliopsida; Sapindales; Rutaceae
Description: long non-coding RNA (CSIN_LNC004012)
Source: RNAcentral
ACAGUGCAAAGGAAGGAGACGGCAUUUGGUAGAACCUGUGCAGGCUUUCCUCCAACAUUCGGUCUUUCUUUGUAGAGCAAAAAAGUACCAUAAUGCUCCAAACCCCUAAACAACCAUCAAGUAGAUCAUCAGGAAUUAUAAAUUACCCAAAAAAGAGUAAAGAGAAAUAGAAUAUAUUGGAGACUUGGGAGGCAAGUAAACUUACAUUAGCAGCAUGUAGGUAAAAGAGAUUGAACGUAAGUCUGGCCCAUUUAGUAUGCUUAUAUGAAUUCUUCCUUUUUUUAAUCAAUGCAUACAAUCGCUUAACCUUUAGCAAAUGUUGGACGAUAAACAGGUUCAUCACAUGGAAAAAUUGCUGGACAUUCAUUAGUCGAUUAUAAACUAGAAGCACCAACACCUGAACAGUUUGUACACCAUAAAGAUAGAAUUAUCAAUUAUGAAAUAUGAUUCCAUAUGAAAAGGAAAAAAAAAAAUACAACCUAUGCGUGCUUGCUAGGAAUCCAACAUAAAUUGGUUUGGGCGCCCAUAGGUGUGCGCGCGUGCCCUUGCUUGGCUAAUUGGAACAAAUAAGUAAAAAGUACGACAGAACAAACAUUUACCUGUGGGAGUGGAAGAAUGAUGGCGAGAUCAGAGAUCAAAUAGGAAGACGGGCAACCGAGAUAUGCUACAAUUUCGACGCCAAUUCUCCCAUAUUGGUAAAGCUCUAAUUAUCAAAAAAGGUGUAUCAUAUACCGUGCGUUCAAGAAUACCAAACGUCAUAACAUCUUUGUCAAAUUGGAAGCACUUUUUGUCAUCGUUGGUCACAGGAAGGUACAAGAAAACAGGAUCAAAUACCAUGGAAUACACAUAAAUCAGCCAAAAAUUAGCUUCCAGGAAACGUCUCGACAGAUUACGAAUCUGCCGAAGAGAUGUUUUUACUCCAUUACCCAAGCUUUCGAUCACAGUGAGGAAAGCAGAUACUGUUGCUUCUCUCUCGCUCCUACUGAUGCUGUCCAUUUCAACACCAGCAACCAGUCUCGGCGUUCCUUCCUCUAAAUUCGAGUGCUGAGACCUGAAAAAAAUAAAAUCAACUUCAUCGUCAUCACCAUAUACAAUAAUUGUAAUAACAUAUAGCCUGUACUUCAGCUCAGUAAGGCUCUAUACGUAUAUCGUCAAAUUAAUAAACAACUCGCUUAAGGCUUACAUAAUCAACCAAGGGGAAGGAAAAUUUAAAUAAAUGAAGCGAAGCUUAAUUUCAGUUUCCUUCAAUUAAAUACAGGUGAAUCCUUCACAAAUCAUCACUUCAGUGGCUGAGUCUUCGGAGUUCAGAGCAUGCUUAUCCUAUGCGCUAAUAAAUAUCUACGCACUGUGGUUCCUCAAGACAUUGACUUCUUACACAAUCAAUCAAACAACCAAAACAAAAAACAAAUUCCCAAUAAAUAUGUAAUUUGUGUAGCACCUUUUGACUGAGUUGGGGGCGCAGGCAACUAAUAGUUACGACUUGAGGUUAGAACUUAUCCAUUUGCACAUUCUCAAUCUACGGUUCAUUAACCAAAAUUUUGGCCCCGAGAGGCUGCAAGUCUUAUCAUGUCCCUCGUGUUUUUUGCUCACUAGUAGAAUUGAAUCUUUGUGCGUGUUAAGUAAAUACAAGCACCAGGUCGGUCAUGCUAUUAUUUCCACCCCGGCGUGGAUCACCUCAGCCUAUGGUACGAGCCGAACACAGGGACAAGCAUAAACCGACCAGAGGGGAACCCCUGACAAGCAUAAACCGACCAGAGGGGAACCCCUGCUAGGGGAAUGUACCGACCAGAGGUAUACACCGAGCCGAUACCUGUCCCCCAGAAAGCGGGAACACGAUCCCACAGAACCGCGGCCGUUACGCUGUUCCCAGAACACAGAAUCGCGGCCGUUACGCUGUUCCCAGAACACAGAAUCACGGCCGUUACGCUUUUCCCAGAACACAGAAUCGCGGCCGUUAUGCUUUUCACAGAACACAGAAUUGCGACCGUUACGCUUUUCCCAGAACCGUUGAAGGACACGUAAGUCCCCACGUUUGCGACAAUGCAACGGUUAGAGUCCCGUGAGGGGCUGCCACUACCCGAAAAAGGGGGGGAUGAAGGGCAAACGGAAAGGUGGGGACAGCGGCUAUAAAAGAAAAGGAACUCAACGGAGAAAAGGACAGAAAAAACGGAGAGAGGGAAAACGCUGCCAAAUUGCAACCAGACCAUUUUCCUACGAAUUUCAGAUAAACUUCUUGAACCCAAAUCACAUUGUUUUCCCGUAAACACCUUGAGCUAACUUAGGCAUCGGAGGGUUUACGCCGGCAAAACCACCGGCGUCUCUGAUCCGUUUUUAGUGAGCGCAGGUCUAUUGAGAGGAAGGGGGACGAUUCCAGUUCCAGUGAACGAGCAACAACAGAUAACACAAACGUUGGUGAAAGAAUCUGGUCGGUCAAAGGGCGAGCAGAUUUCAGCAUCAACACUUAUUGCUCAAGAUAAAUGUAAGCCUUACAAAUAUGAACUUGUUGAGAAUCCAAAUCCAAACUUGUGAACAAUGUCACGAUGCCCAUUACAAAUUUGAGCAAUAGUAGGAACAGUCCGGGCCUGCGUCCCAGGUCGCUUUAGAAAAUUUUUGAAGACCUCUGACCUUACUUCCUUUGAAUUUAUAAAAAUAUCCCAUUUGAGUGUUAAAAUUUUGAAAAUUUCAGUGCUUAUCUCUGGGAUACGAAUCCCCCAGCCCCAAUAAAAAAAAAAAAAUCCCAGGUCGCUUUAAAAAAAUUAAAUUUGUUAGUUUGGUUGGUGAGAGUAGUCGAAAAUAUUUAAUGAACUGCGAAUACUUGCGAAUGGAACUUCUUUCACAAUUUUUGAAUUUUGAACUGACUGCACCGCACGCAAGUUUCAAAAUUUUGGUAGAGACGCGAGUGAGGAGCGUGAUCCAAUCCAAUGAUGACAUGUCAUCAAUCAUAUGUUGGCGCGUGGUCAACCCUCUUCGCCUGAGCUGAUGCCAUGUUGGCAUGAAGAGGGCAAAGAGUUAAAGAAAUUUCCAAGUAAAGCAAUGCUAUUGGCUCUUGGCUAUUGGCCACAGUCUAGUUAAUCAGGAAAUUAGUCAAGCCUCAUAAAUGCAGUCAAUGGCAAGGUAAAAAAUAUCCGAAAUGAGUUGAAAUUGAUGGGUCGGUGAGUUUUUUUGACCGGUAGCUGUUUCUGCUUCGAUCAUUUAUUUAUUAUUGGACCUCUGUUUGUGCUCUCUCUAGUUUUGUAGGUUAUUUAUGCUUUUGGAUAUGUGAUGAGGUCAUCUGUCGGUUUAAAUUCAUGAACUUAGGAUGCAAUUCAAAUACAAAUUAAAAUUUAAGUAUCGAAAUUCUUAAUAUUAUUGAUAUCUUACUGUUGUUAUUAUUAUUUUUAUUAUAUUUAUGAAUUUUUCUGAGUUAUUCUGAUUGUAGUUUAUAACAAGAUUUUUUUCAAUAAGUAUGUGAAUAAAUUUUAUUUAUCCAUAAAUUACAUUAACUAUAAUUUUAAAAAAUCUUAUUAUUAUUACGACAAUCUCUAUUUUACAUAUAUGUAAAAUACAUAUUCUUCAUAUAAAUAAUACAUAUAUGGGAUCCACGUAUUAUUAUGAUAAUAAUAAUAGAACCUACAAAAAAAAAAAUUAAAUUACCAAUUUAACCCUAAAAAAUAAAAAAAUUAUAUUAAUUUUUAAUUUGUAAUUUUAUUUUUAGGGUAAAUUGGUAAUUUAAUUAUUUUCUUUUUAUUAAUGUCCAAAUAAAAAAAUAUUAUAAAAGGGUAACAUUAUAAAAGUAAGCUAAAAGAAAUAAAAAGUAACGGUAGGAGUAUCAAUACUUUAACGACAUGGACGUUUUGAGACAUUUUUUAAAAUAUAGGGACUAAAUGGAUACUAAUCUUAAAAUAUAAGGACUAAAUAAGCUUUUACCCUUUAUUUAUUCAUUUCAUGUACUGAAUAAAAUGGGUGGCUAACUUAUGGAUGGAUUAGUGUUCAUGUGGAUGUUGAUUUUUGUUUUGGCAUGCAUGAGUUAUCCUUUAAUAAUUUGAUGGUGCACAUGCUCGUCCAGUCUUAUAUUUAAAUUGUCAAAUGGUUCUGUUUCGGCAAUAUAAACUUGGCACUUACGUUUCGGAAAUUUUUGAAGAGUUUAUAAAAUUCUGUUGUUUGUUUAGGAAAAUAACUGUUUGAUGUUUUGGCAAUAUAACCAAGGUAAUGUUGCACUGAUAAUCAUUUUUUUUAAAGUUUGACAGCUUCAGAAACGAUAUUAAUCUCAAUUGUUUUUAUCAUUAAGUUCAAACUUUGAAUUUUCUACUUAAUGAUGUUUUGAGAAGUGGGAAAUUUGUUGUUUAUGCUUUAGAUUGCAUAAGUCCAGACACAAGAUUUGGUUAUGGAAUUGAAUGUAUCCUGUGAAAUCUUUUUACGAUUGAGGGUUCUUUUCUUGGUUACAGUGGUGUCAUUGGGUUUCUGAUAUGCUCAACAGAGGGACCUCAUGUUGAUUUUGCGAACCCCAUUAAUCCUAUUGAGAAGUUGGAUGGAGCUGACAAGCAUAAAAGAGAAUUAAGGUUCUAUAACUCAGAGGUAAAGGCUCCUCAUUUCAAGUCUAGCUUUCCUUGGUCGUUACUUCUUGAUUCUUUUUCUUAGAUAACCUAAAUGCUUGUGUGGUUGAAUUGUCAUUGAGUUAAUAUUUUGGUAGUGUUACUGUGUUAGAUGAGAAAGUAUGAUGGCCUGCAUUUAAUAUUUGUGUUGUGUUGACAGAUUCAAUUAUAUAGUUGCCUCCGCGUCGCUUGCAUUUUUGAAGAGGGAGGUGAGCGUACUUAGUGAUUCUCCAACUCCAAGCCAACGAAUCUGCGCGUCCUAAUGAUUCAUAGCAAUCAUCCCAUUUAUUUAUGAUUAGCGAGAUUUAGUGCUUCCCAUGUUAUAGUUUAUAGGAUGAUUAUGAUAUAUGUAGACGAGGGGUUACGCCUUGAGCUUGACCUUGGAGACUUUGUGGAUGAUCUGAUUCUAGCAAUGUAUCAUGGUUCUCAUUUGACAAUUAAUACUUAUUUUAUUAUAUUAAUAGCUUACUUUUAAACCUUCAUGAAAAUUAUAUGAUUAUGGUUCAAUUUAGAUUUUCUUUUAUUAUAAAAGUUUUGCCAGUGGCCCUCUUAGCCAUGGAUUGAUUAACAAAAUUUUCAACAAGGGCGUGAACUCGCUCAUCCUCAAAAACCAUUAUUGGAUGGAAUAAAUAUUAAAAUCAGGGACACGCUAAUUUAAUACAGCAGUGAUAUUCUUACAACAUUUAACACCACACACACUCACCACCAAACGGUGCGUUUUGAGCUAAAUAUUAAUUGUCCACACAUAUUACACACAACACGCGCUGCUCCCACCGCACAUGCUGCUCACAGAACACAGCUCAGAAAUUGACGUGUAGCCCGAAUCACCCAUAAGCUGAUUCUCCCUCUCUCACCCCUUCGUCGAUUGCAUCUCCCACAUCACUAAAAUAUAUCCCAGAUAUAUUUUGGUUGCAAUUUUGGUUUUGGUAACAAUCAGCAAAAGAUCAAGAUGUUCGCAUGCAACAUAUCAUGUGCCAGGUUAAGUGUUAAUCUUAAACGAUUGUUCAAGGGCUGAAUCCACGAAAUGUAGAAAAUCUUUAUAUUAACUGAUUCACUGGUACAAGAGCACUCUUCUUUUACUUCACUCAAAAUCAAUCUAAAUGCAAUUACUAAUCAAUUUAAACUCACUUGACAAUACAAAUCGAUUACAAAUGCAAAACUUGACCACGGAUGCAAUCACCACAAGCAAUACAAUUCCAGCUGAAUCUUCACAAAUUCAAGCCAUAAAUUUUUCAAAUUUUCGAGGUAAGAUUUGUGGAGAGACCCACGCCAGCUGUGAAGAGACCCACGGAAAGAGAGAGAAAGCCGACGGUGAGUGUUGUAUGGGUUUUGCUCGUUUGCUAUGCGAGCUGUGUGUGCGAGAGAGAGAGAGAGAGAGCCAACGGCCAGAUGUGGGGACACCCACGGCGAGAGAGAGGGAGAAAGUUGACGGAGAGCGCACAGAGCAGGGGAGGAGGAAAAUGAAACGGUUGCGUUUUGGUGUGGGUUUUGCUUGCUCGUUUGCUGUGCGAGUCUUGCGCGUGUGUAUUGAGGGGUAAUUUUUAAAAACCUCCCCUGAAGUUUGGGUUUAUUGCAAGUAGAUGGCGAGAAUCAGUUUAUUUAUAAAAAAUCCCCUACCGUCAGUUAAUUUUAACAUUGACCGUUAGUUGACUGUGCAAAGACAAUAUUACCCUUAACAAUAGUUUGUAGACUGACAUAAUUAAAAAAAAAACUAAAAUUGUUGGCGCAAAAAGCACAAACCUUAUUUUUUGACAAUUUUAUCCUUGUCAAUUCCAAAAAUUUACAAUAUCAUAGGUAAAGAUUAUAACUAUUUCAUUUUCAAGUUUUUAAUUUUAUCUUUCUUGUAGGAACUUUAAGGAAAUAUUAAUAAUUUAAAGAGGAUUUUUCAAGUUGUUAAUUUUAUCUUUUUUGUAGGAACUUUAAGAAAAUAUCAAUAAUUUAAAGAGGAUAAAAUAGCCAACAAUUUUGAUUUUUUUUUUUUAGUUAUUUUUGUCUACAAACUAUUGUUAAGAGUAAUAUUGUCUUUGCACAAUCAACUAACGGUCAAUAUUAAAAUUAACUGAUGGUAGGGAAUUUUUUACAAAUAAAUCAAUUCUCGCUAUCUACUUGCAACAAGCCCAAACCUCAGGAGAGGUUUUUAAAAAUUACCCGUGUAUUGAGCUGCCACAGAAACCUUUUUAUAGUUAGCAUAAAACGCACCAUUUUGUGCUAACUUUUGUACUAAAUGUUGUAAGAGUCUCAUUUUCCAAUUUAAUAUCAUCCGUUGUGUCUCUACUAGUUAUAAUUUCUAUUAUCUUUGUCAUCCAUAUUGCCUAAGAAUUUUCUCGUCUUUACUUAAUGCUGACAGAGCAAGCCAAGAUAAUAGUUUGGAAGUUCUCCUGAGAGUCAGCUCUGUGUGUGUGUACAUAAAUUUGAGCUUUUUAGAGAGCUUUGAGCUUUCAUACUGUUAUUAGAGCAAGGUAAUUCCAUUACGGACUGACGUUUAGCAGUUAAAUGCUUACUCCCUUGGUGUACAUAUAAUUUCUGCAUGAUAAAUUUUUCUGCAAAAGGGACGGUCCAUACUGCCAUCCGAACCAGAAAUUAGCGCAUAGAAAAUAUAUAUGUUCAACACUACAAAGGAGUUUUGCUAACUUCAUACAUAUAUAUACAUCAACUGUAUCAGGCAUCGGUUUCUAAUAUCUCAAACUCAAAUACACUCGUCCAAAUUUAUUCUUGAGAUAGGUCCUUAAUUAAGAUCAUGAACAAGGCCUAAAAUACUAACGUUGCUGCACCAGAUCUGAAUGCCCCAAAUAUUAUUGUAGAUGGCGACGGUGGCGUUCCUUGUGCGGACGCAUGUGCACUCCAUCUAGUUUGUCAAAAUACAUGUAUACAUCCAGUGCAAUGUUUUGCUUAAUGAUCAAUAUUCAAUAGUACCUGCUUUAAAUCAUCCGCCAUAAGAACAAAUGCUUCAACAUUUGUAAGAGCUUGAAUUGUUUUAGUUGAUAUAGGAAGGUUGGAUGAGUCGCGGUCAGCCUUCGCCCAAGCAAUGAGUUCUUCUCCAGAAAAGUCACCAUCUUCCAGAUGGUUGUUCAGGUUACCAGAAUUGCUUGAGAAUCCAGUUAUGCUCCUGGAAGUGUAGGUCCUUGACUUGCCUUGCAGCACGAAGAGCAUUUGAUCAAUUGGGUUUCCCUCCCGGAGAAUGUAAGAGCGCUCUGUGAAGACAACCGGCUUCACAACAUCACACAAUCUCUCCAACGAUGAAUCACUCCAGUUUCCAAACUCUUCUACCUAUACAAACAUACAUCCAAUAUCGUUACUAUAAUCUAAAAGGCAUGAUGCUGAUAAUGAAAUUCAGCUUCUGAAUGAAGAAAAUUGAAAAUAAAACUUCAUCUAGAACUAUCUCAGCUGAAAUGAGAUUCAUUCCCUAACACUAAAACAUAUCAGGUUUGAGUUCACGUUGAGGUGAUGUGGACUUUAGCGAUUGCGCUUUCAAAACUAUGCAAAAUAUUUUUAUUAGUUCUCCUUUGUCAAUUUCACAAAUUAACGAAUAGCAGACACAAAUAUAGUUGUAAAGAUUUCUCACUCACUUUUUUUAGCAAGUCUAAGCAGAGCUUCUGUUUUAUGUUAUUUCUGAGGUGCCUUGGAAGAUGAUUCACCACAUACUCUACGUCAACACCCGUGGUUUGCAAUUUCGAUUUCUGAUAUUCCUUGAUCUCCUUUUGGAGUUUCUUAGGGAGCUUUCCAAAGGGCAGCCACCGGUCUAUUUCUCGUACCUUCUGUCUUAUCUCAUAUACUUUUGACGUUUCAGACUGCACAUUGCCCAAGAAUCAUGGUUCAUAGAAAAGUAAAAUUUAUUGCGCUUCCUCUUAAUCAAGCAUAAAAACCAAUUUUGAGAGACAAGAUGCAGAUGAUUAAAAGAAAAAAAUGAAAAAAAUAAGGUACACCAACCUGAACCUUUCCAAUCAAAAGGAAAAACAACACUACCCCAGUGAUGGUAAUUGAAAUUACAAAGAUGUUUUCCAAGACAUUGGUACUUAACGGGAGACCUUGACCAAAACAACUGCAAAAGUCAAACCCACAAAUGUGUUAGAACCAAUGUUUUGAGCUUAAUUGAUAAAAAACACAAACAUACGUAUGCUUUAAUAUAUGCACAAAAAACAAAGAAAGGCGUACACAAAAAGAUUGUUAAGAGAAGAAUGAUGUAUAUUCACAACUUAACCUGAGAGUUUGCAGGCUCCAUUGAAAACAAGGAAAGUACCUCCGAAAAAAAUUGUUUUGAUCCAAAACACCAGAUUGAAUAGCAUCACGGAAUAUCCCAAAAUCAUAGAUAGUUGCAUUUUGAGUCUUUGUAGAGCAAAAAUCACUAGAAAAUGUGUAGUUUGUUAAACUGUCAUCACAGUGUAAAGGAAGGAGGCCACAUCUGGUAAAAUCUGUGCAGGCUUUCUUCCAACAUUCAGCCUUUCUUUGUACGGCGAAAAAGUACCAUAAUGAUCCAAACACCUAAAGAACCAUCAAGUAGAUCCCGGGAACUAUAAAUUACCCAAAAAAACAGUAAAGAGAAAUAGAACAUUUUGGAGAGUUGAGAGGCAAGUAAACUUACAUUAGCAGCAUGUAGGUAACCGAAAUUGAACGUCAGAUUGGCCCAUUUAUUAAGGUUAUAUGAAUUCUUCCAUUCUGUAAUCAAUUUAGCCAAUCGGAUAACCUUUAACCCAUGUUGUACAAGAAACAGGUUCAUCAGAGAGAAAAAUUCCUGGCCACUAAUUCUUUGACUAUAAGCUAGAAGCACCAACACCUGAAUAGUUUGUAGGAACUCCAAAAACAGUUAUUUCUCUUACUUCACCCUGCGGAAUACACAGAAAUGGAACUCCACAGACAUUUAUUUCUCUUACUCCUCUCAUGAUCCUACUGGUCCUGUUCAUUUCAACGCCAGAAACCAGUCUCGACGUUCCUUCCUCUAAAUUCAUUCAAGUCUUGAGACCUUGGAAAAACAAAAAAAUCAUCUUCAUCAUGGUCACAUAUACAAUAAUUGUAAUAAUAUAUAGCCUGAUCAUAAGUUCAGUAGGACUCUAUAAGUAUAUCAUCAAAUUAAUAAACAAGUCACUUACGAAGGAAAAUUAAAGUAAAUGAAGCAAAGCUUAAAUUCAGUUUCCUUCAAUUAAAUACAGGUGGAUCCUUCACGAAUCAGCACUUCAGUGGCUCAGUCUUCGGUGGAUGCUUAUGUUAUGUGUUAAUAAAUAUCAGAGGCACGACCCAAAGACUUCGAUUUUUCAAGUCAACCAGGAACACAUAAUUAUUGUUUGGGGUCCGCUUAUAAUAUUUUCAGGCUAGCUCUGUAGCUCAAGCAUGAAAAACGGGGAAAGUAAAGUGCAAGAAAAUUCCAGAUUCUUUUUUCAAUUGUUCUUUAUACUGUGUAGCUAAUGUACAAAAGUGAAAAUGAAUCUUUGCUUGCAUUUUUUUAAAUUAGCGGCAUAAAAAGAAUGGAGUGAAAAGUACAGAGACCUUGAAUGAUCAUUGAAAGCCAUUAAAGAAUGUAGACAAAAGUUAAUUGCAUUAGAAAGUACUAAUAAUGAAUUAUUUAGACAAAAUAUAGUAUUGCAAAAUCAAUGUCAGAUUUUAUUACUUAUCAGUUAUCACCAGAAAACUCAAAACACUUCAACAAAAGCUAGCACUAGAAGAAAUAUUUAACCAUUCCCCAGUAGGACAAUUAAUAAAAAUUCAAAAAAUUUCUUCCCUCAUUGGUGAUAGUAUAGACAUUGUAAAAAAAAUUUUAUUUCAGUAGCCAAUCAAAUAUUCUAUAGCAUAUUAAAUUUCUUAGAAUUGUUAAAUUACAAUAAGAAAUUUAUGCCAAAAUCUUAGUACAUUAAUAAGACCAUUAUAUAAUAAAUUAAGUAAAAAUGGACAAAAGUAUUUUAAAUUUUAUAGUGAAGAUAUUAAAUUAAUACAAAAACUUAAAGAAAUAGGAAUUUUUUUAAUCUACAUCAUCAUAUGUUAAUUCCUCAUUAUUACAUAAUUCUUCAAAUAAUUCUUCAUCUAAACAUUUUUAGGAUUAUUAAAUAUUAAUUCUAUAAUCUUAUCUCUAAUAUUAUGUAGAGUUUUCUCUUUAUCUGUAUUUAAAUUUUUUACUAUAGCAUAAAAAGAAUGGAGUGAAAAGUACAGAGACCUUGAAUGAUCAUUGAAAGCCAUUAAAGAAUGUAGACAAAAGUUAAUUGCAUUAGAAAGUACUAAUAAUGAAUUAUUUAGACAAAAUAUAGUAUUGCAAAAUCAAUGUCAGAUUUUAUUACUUAUCAGUUAUCACCAGAAAACUCAAAACACUUCAACAAAAGCUAGCACUAGAAGAAAUAUUUAACCAUUCCCCAGUAGGACAAUUAAUAAAAAUUCAAAAAAUUUCUUCCCUUAUUGGUGAUAGUAUAGACAUUGUAAAAAAAAAAAUUAUAAAAAUUUUUAGCAAGAUUUUAUUUCAGUAGCCAAUCAAAUAUUCUAUAGCAUAUUAAAUUUCUUAGAAUUGUUAAAUUACAAUAAGAAAUUUAUGCCAAAAUCUUAGUACAUUAAUAAGACCAUUAUAUAAUAAAUUAAGUAAAAAUGGACAAAAGUAUUUUAAAUUUUAUAGUGAAUAUAUUAAAUUAAUACAAAAACUUAAAGAAAUAGGAUUUUUUUUUUCUCUACAUCAUCAUAUGUUAAUUCCUCAUUAUUACAUAAUUCUUCAAAUAAUUCUUCAUCUAAACAUUUUUAGGAUUAUUAAAUAUUAAUUCUAUAAUCUUAUCUCUAAUAUUAUGUAGAGUUUUCUCUUUAUCUGUAUUUAAAUUUUUUACUAUAGCCAUAUUUAUUUCUAUUUCUUCUUCAUUUUCUUCUAAUUAUGGAUUACCUAUUUUUCUAUAAUUAUUAAACCUCUGUGUAACUUAAUUAUGUAAUUCUUAGUGCUUUCUAUCUUGCUAUCUAUUGCAUUUUCUUCCUCCGAUAGUGAGUCAAAAAAUGCAAUAUCUACUUCUUUUUCUAUUGCUAGUGAUUUCUUUUCGUAAGGCAAAAUAUGCAUCUCAAAUUUAGGUUGUACAAAUGUUGAUUUUUUAAAGAAAUUUAUCCCAUUAGUAGUUGUUAAUAUACUACUAUUAUCUUCUAAUAUAAAAUUUAAUCCUAAAAUAAACUUAUAUCCUACUUUUUUACAACAGAUAAAUGUUUGAGGAACUCUAUUAACGGUUUCUCUAAACUCAUUCAUUUACUGUUAAUUUUAUUAAAUUUAAUUGUAUUUGUAAAUCUCUUUGUGUAUUUUUAAUAUUUUUUAUUUCAACUUUUAAAACUUCUACAAGACUUUUGAUUUAUAAUUCUACUAGUUUAGGUGCUUUUAUGUCUAAUAAUUUUAUUAAUUCUAUUAUUUCUUUUUUAUUACGGAACCUUGUAAUUUGACUAUUAAAAUCAGCUAAUGACUCUUUAAUAUAGUCUAAAUUCUUUCUUCGUGUAUUUUAUGUUACUUGCUUCAAAAAAUUGUCCUAACCGUAAUACUAGUUCUUUAAGCUUUUCUAGUUUAACUUCUAAGUGCUGUCCAAGAUUAAUUAUUAAGUCUAUUGUUGACCAUUACUCGUAUAUGGAAUAUGUUUAUAUUGAUUUUCUAAAUGCUCUAUAUUAUGAUUAAGUUUAAUUUUAUUUUCCUAUGACUACUAAUUUGUAAAUCCAAAUAUGCUAGUUUUUGAAAAUUCAUAAACUAAUUCUUUAACUAUUCUAGUUUAUUUCUAAUUUUAAAAAUUACAUUUUCAUAAUGAUCUAAUAAAUUUAGUUGUCUAUUGUAACUAUAUUUUACUAUAGAUAAGUGUGUAAGAGUGUAAUAUCUAACACUGACUUUUUUUUUUUUUAAUCAUUAUAGGGUCUAAUGGAUUUUUUUUUUAAUCAUUAUAGGGUCUAAUGGAGAUGUGUAAUCUACUAGAAGUUUAUUAUUUUCUAAUCUUUUUUCUAUUAAAUUAUUUAAUAUAGAGUGUUCUGCACUAAUUUCUACUUUUUUCUAGCUCUACAAUUUUUAAAGCAAUUUCUAAUUUUUCGGUAAAAGGAUUAAUCACAAAUACCCACAGCCAAAUUUGCUUUUGAAAGACUUGGAUUUUGCAGUCUUAUGUGUGACAUUUGUGCUGUGUUAUCUAUGGCCGCAUCCAAUCAUAUCUUACUAAAUUUUUGUACCGCGCUACCUAAAAUUUUCCCACUACCGGUAAUUUGAUAAGAGUCUUUGUCUUCUUCAGUCAGGCACGAAAAAAAAAAUGUUGGUUCAGAUCUAACUAUUCAAUCAAGAGCUAGCUCAGGACAAAAAGAAGUGUGCAAUUAGGGGACGAUACCGUAGACAGACAAUAGACAAAUUUUUCUUUGAAUGGUUUACUUUUGACUAAAUGAUCGGUGAUCCAACACCACUGAUCGUUUUUCAAAGGGACCCAUGUUAUGGAUGAAAAUUGAUAAAACUUGAACCCUAUUUUUUUUUCCCCCUCUCCGUUGUGUGAAUCAACCUUGGUUAAUUAAACUCACCGAAAUUGGAGGGGGAAAAAAUCUUGAAAAUACAUAAUAAUCUGCUCCAUUUCUACUUAAAAACUUUCUCUUUUAUGCAUCAUACUGGCCUUAAAUUCUUGCAGCAGAAAGCAAAACGCAGGGACCAUAAAGCCAUCAAUAGUUCUCUAAAUUUCCAAAUAUAUGCAACAACAAUAGUCAGUACACAAACUACUUUCAGGAGAUUUAUUUAACAACUUAGAAACGAGAUGUAAUUUGUAUUUAAAAUAUAAAUCAAUGACUAUAAGCUUAUUAUAACAAGCAUAGGAUGUGACCAGCCUAUUUUUCUUUAGCAAUAAAAUGAGGUUCCACAAGCUGCCUGGACAUAGGGUGUGUUUGGGAGAGCAGCUGCCUAUAUUCUAGGAGGAUAUGCCAGUGCGGCUGCCUCAAACGUAGGGAUGACAAAUAUUCAAUUAUGGAUGGAUAAUAUCCAUCCAAACACAAAUCCAUAAUUAUCCAUAAUGGAUAUAUCCAAAUCCAUACACAAUAUUUAAUAUUGGACAUGUAUAUGGAUUUUAUCCAUAUAACUAUGGAGAUCCAUGGAUAUCCAUGGAUAUUUUAUUUUUAUUAUAUAAAAAUAAUAAUCUAAAAUAGUUAAAAUUUCAAUAUUAAAUUUGGUUAUUAAACUAUUUAUAUUACUAAUAAUAUAUAUAUAUAUAUAAUAAAAUGGAGGUCCGGCGACGGUUCGGCGAUGUCCGACGGUGGUCCGGCAACUUUCCGGCGAAUUCAGGCGGAGCUCCGGCAACUUUCCGGCGAAUUCCUGCGGAGGUCUAGCGAAAUUCCGGCGAGGUCCGGUGGUGGUCCAAUGACUUUCCGGUGGAUGUCCAUUUAUAAUAUUAAAUUAAUAAAAUAAAAUAAUAAUUAUUAAUAGUCUGCUGUAUUUUUAUAAUUGUUUGUUUAUUAUAUUUUUUAUUUUUUAUUUUAUAAAAUUAAAAUUUUUUAAACUUGUUUUGAGUUAAACGGAUAUCCAUUGGGUAAAUAUAAUUAUCUAUAUCCAUCCAUAUUCAUCUGGAUAUAAUUUUAAAAUAUCCAUUUCAAAAUCCAAAAUUUUUUGGAUGGAUAUUAUCCGAUCCAAUUGGAUGGAUAUUGUGGAUAUCCAUUAUGAAGCGAUCCAGUUGCCAUCCCUACUCAAAUGCACACAUAAUUGUGGGGCGCUCUGUCUAGACGUUUCUGUAUUCCUUGUAGAAUGAGAGAAAGUUCCUUUCACAGCGGCCAUGAGCAAUUUUAUGAAUGAAGUUGCCUGGAUGAAUAGAGCUGCCCUACUAGGCUUAAUGAGUGACAUUUUUCAAGUCAUCAGCCAUAGACAAAAGGCUUCAACUUUAUGCUUGAAAAGCUCUGGUUGAGAUGGCACGCUGAAGUAUUGUUGGCUUGCUCUUACUAUCUGUCCAUGGCUACCAGAAAAUGAGAAAAUUCUUUUUACAAUGUCCUGGAAUAAUUUUAAAAAUCGAGCUGCUUUAAUGAAUGGAGCUACUCGUUUCUGCUCAAAGAGUAAUAAAUCAUCGGCUGUGAGAACAAAGGCUAUAAUAAAUCAUCAACUUUUGUAAGCGCUUGAAUGGUUCCUGUUGAGGUAGGGAGGUCAGAUGAAAAAUGGUCAAUUCUCCAACUCCAAGUCAACGAAUAUGCGUCUCCUAAUGAUUCAUAGCAAUCGUCACAUGAUUUCUUGACGAGCGAGAUAUACUGCUUCCCAUGUUAUAGUUUAUAGGGUGAUUAUGAUAUAUGUAGACCAGGGGUUACGCCUUGACCUUGACCUUGGAUACUUUGUUGAUGAUUUAAUUCUAGCAAUGUCUGAUGGGUCUCAUUUGACAAUUAAUAACAAUCCUGCUACCAGAUACCUGCUCAUCAUGGCUGGUCUUGUGGAGGUAUUACCCCCAAACAGGCUCCAUCGAAUACAAAGCAAGAACCUCAGAGAUAAACUGUUUUGCUCCAUAACACCAGAAUUAAUAGCAUCAAAGAAUAUCCCAAAAUCAUAGAUAGUUGCAUUUUGAGUCUUUGUAGAGCAAAAAUCAUUAGAAAAUGUGUAGCCUGGCCCAUUUAGUUUGUUUAUAUGAAUUCUUCCUUUCUUUAAUCAAUGCAUACAAUCGCUUAACCUUUAGCAAAUGUUGGACAAUAAACAGUUUCAUCACAGAGAAAAAUUUCUGGCCACUCAUCACGUUACUAUAAACUAAAAGCACCAACACCUGAACAGUUUGUACACCAUAAAGAUAGAAUUAUCAAUUAUGAAAUAUGAUUCCAUAUGAAAAGAAAAAGAAAAUUACAACCUAUGUGUGCUUGCUAGGAAUCCAACAUAAAUUGGUUUGGGCGUCCAUAGGUGUGCGCGCGUGCCCUUGCUUGGCUAAUUGGAACAAAUAAGUAAAAAGUACGACAGAACAAACAUUUACCUGUGGGAGUGGAAGAAUGAUGGCGAGAUCAAAUAGGAAGACGGGCAACAGAGAUAUGCUAUAAUUUCGAUGCCAAUUCUCCCAUAGUUGAAAAGCAUUAUUUAUCAAAAAAUAUAUAUCACAUCCUGUGCGUUCAACAAUACCCACCCUCAAAACCCAUAUGUCAAAUUGGAAGCACUUUUUGUCAUCGUUGAUCACGGGAAGGUACAAGAAAACAGGAUCAAAUACCAUGGAAUACACAUAAAUCAGCAAAAAAUUAACUUCCAGGAAACGUUUCGGCAGAUCACGAAUCUGCUGAAGGGAUGUUUUUUCUCCAUUACUCAAGCUUUCGAUCCGAGUGCGAUAAACAGAUUUUCCUGCUUCUCUCGCGCUCCUACUGAUGCUGUCCAUUUCAACACUAGCAACCCGUCUCGGCGUUCCUUCCUCUAAAUUCAAGUCCCGAGACUUCAUCGUCAUCACCAUAUACGAUAAUUGUAAUAAUACAUAGCUUGCACUUCAGCUCAGUAGGGCUCUAUACGUAUGUCAUUAAAUUAAUAGACAACUCGCUUAAGGCUUACAUAAUCAACGAAGGGGAAGGGAAAUUUAAGUAAAUGAAGCAAAGCUUGAUUUCAGUUUCCUUCAAUUAAAUACAGGUGGAUCCUUCACAAAUCAUCACUUCAGUGGCUGAGUCUUCGGAGUUCAGAGCAUGCUUAUCUUAUGUGCUAAUAAGUAUCUAGACACUGUGGUUCCUCAAGACUUUGACUUCAUGCACAAUUAAUCAAACAACCAAAAAAAAAAAAUUUCCAAUAAAUAUGUAAUUUCUGUAGCACCUUUUGAUUGAGUUGGGGCCGCAGGCAACUAAUAGUUACGACUUGAGGUUAGAACUUAUCCAUAUGCACAUUCUCAAUCUACGGUUCAUUAACCAAAAUUUUGGCCCCGAGAGGCUGCAAGCCUUAUCACGUCCCUCGUGUUUUUUGCUCACUAGUAGAAUUGAGUCUUUGUGCUUAUUGCUCAAGAUAAAUGUAAGCCUUACAAAUAUGAACUUGUUAAGAAUCCAAAUCCAAACUUGUGAACAAUGUCACGAUGCCCAUUACAAAUUUGAGCAAUGGUAGGAACAGUCGGGGCCUGCGUCCCCGGUCGCUUUAGAAAAUUUUUGAAGACCUCUGACCUUACUUCCUUUGAUUUUAUAAAAAUAUCCCAUUUGAGUUUUAAAAUUAUGAAAAGUUCAGUGCUUAUCUCUAGUUCAAAAAUUGAACUUACUUACUGCUAGUUCAAACACUGAAUUUUUGUGUAAAAAAUAAAUCAAUGGUCAUAUAUUGUUAUUUAAAUUCUUAUGAAAUUGUAUUAUACUAAUAAGGGUUUAAAAUGGAGAUAAAGAAAUCUCAUUUGUUAAAGACUAAUUCUCACCCUUUAUUAUUAUUUGAACUCAGAUGACUGCGGGUGCAAAACAUUUUUUCAGUCAGCUGAAUUUCAUUAAGAGAUGACAUUGUAUUAUAUGUUGAAUUUGAUCCAAUCGAAAAUUUUUUCUGGCUCGUCACUCUCAGACAUAACUUAGUUCACUAUAUGAGCAUAUUACGUGAUUGAAUUUCAUUGUCUUUUGUUGAUUCUCUGACCAUCUUAUGAUGUCUAGAUUGUAGUAUAUAAACCAGGUAAUAGAAGUCUAAAUACUUUGUAUAUAAAUUUUAAUGUCAUACUGUAAUUACUGUCUGCCAAUACUAUUGUAUUUUUCACUUUUACAGUCAGAAAAUUGUGCUGGGGCUUACUUAUGAUACGAGAAAUGUCUCAUUUUUAUCAAAAGAAAAUUACACUGCAAUAUACGUCCGUGGCAGGCAAACAAAGGACGGUUAAGGUAUCUUCAUCUGGAUUUGUAAUCUCGUUGAUGUAGAGUUUUACAUCAUUAAAGAUUCCGCCACGUGUCACACAUGAACGAAUCUGGCACGUGCCGACCACAAUCUCCCAUCUCAUUAUGUUCCUUCCAGUUUUCUCUCACUUUCUCGCGACAGAAAGUGUCGAACUCAAUAACAAAUAAAAAUUUCACAAACCCUUUUUCAAGUGCAUUGCAUAAACACUUUCUCACUCCCUGAAAAGUUGUUAAAGGUACAAUUUUUAACACCCUUUCUGGUUAAAAAAAAAAUGCAUUUCUGAUUCUACCAGGCACUUGAACAGGCUUCGGUUUCUUUGGUUUUGUAAAUUAAUGGUAAAACAAAUUAAAGAUUAAAGCUUUUAGGGGUUUGCUUGCUUCUUGCUGUUCAUUUUGGUUUCGCAAUUAUUAAAUUUUUAAUUACAGUUCUCGUACAUUCGUGCAUUGAUUUUUUUUUUUAUUAAGAUUCAUUCAAUAUCGUGUUUGUGUUAGGUGCUUGGUUCUUAUAUGUUGUUGGGUAUUGGUGAAUGAAUGAGAUGACAAUCUGUUCAUAAUUAUUAUUAGGCAAUGGUAAAAAGAAAAAAAAUUAAUUCUGUUAGUUUGGUUGGUGAGAGUAGUCGAAAAUAUUUAAUGAACUACGAAUACUUGCGAAUGGGUGAAUCACGUAAUCUUAAUUUUUGUGAAGCCGUGUAUUCGCAAAGGCAAGUGUGUGGGCGUUAGGGGUGGGCAAAUUCGGUUUGGAUCGGUUUGAAAUAUUUUCAAACCGAUAUCAACCUAAAAUUUUUUCAAACCGAACCGAUCCAAACUGAUUGGAUCAGUUUGGAUCGGUUUGGAUCCUCGGUUUGAGCUUAUUAGCUAAAAGCCCACUUCUUUUAUAUUAUUUUACCUAAAUUAUUUGUUUUUUUUUGUGUCCGUAAUCCAAAUUGAUACCUCUUUUAUAUUAUUCAUAUCUACUUUGAUAUCUACAUAACAAUUCAAAGAUACAUCCAUACAAGUUUGCAGCAUAAUACAUCCUAAUAAAGAUGUUCUUAACAUGUUCAUUCAAAACAAACUCACAAAAUUAAAAUAAACUUAAACAACAUUUGACAAUUAAAAUAUUGUGCAUCUUGUCCGUCAAAACUUAUGGCCCAAUUACUUUUGAUUUGUCAAAAUCUGCAUAAAAUGAUAAAUAUAAUUAGUUAGAUUGCUUAACUUAGAAUAUAAUGUAAUUAUAUAAUAUUUCUAGAUUGGAUCGGUUUGAAUCGGUUUGGAAUCCUUCCAAACCGAAAUCCAAACCGAGUGAUGUCGGUUUGCAAUCCAAUAAACUAAAAUCAGUUUUUUUACUAAUGAAACCGAUCCAAAUGAUCGGUUUGGAUCGGUUCGGUUAAAAUAUGCCCACUCCUAGUGGGCGUGGUUGAUAGGAAACUGAGAAGCACAAAUGCACAACAACUUCUUUCACAAUUUUUAAAUUUUGAAUUGAUUGCACUGCACGCAAGUUUCAAAUUUUGUUAGUUACAAUAAUAAAAUCGAUAUGACUACUACAUGUCUCCAUUUUACAACAGGAGUGCACGGCACCAAUCAAAAAUUAAAUUUUUUAUUAUUUAAUAAUAAAAAAAUUCUGGAUUAAUUUUAUUGCACACCCAAUGAACAAAACAAACAAAAACUAAAAAAAAUAAAGUAAAUAUCAUUGUCGGUGGCCAUCUUUAUCCAGUCAUCAAAGAAUUGGGUAAAAUUAUUGAGUGUUUUAAGUGUAUUAUUAUUCUGUGUGUUUUUUAAAUUAUUAAUUAUUUAUUGUGGUUAUAUAUUAAUUAUUCGUAAUAAUAUUUUAUAUACAUAUUAAAAUGAAUAGAUAAAAAAUAAUACUCUUCAAGUACCAAAGAAUUUUUCUCUCUUAUAAAUUGAAUCCAAUAAUUUAGUUAUAUUUAUCUCAUUAUCUGUAAUCUAUUAUUACAAAUAUUUAAACUUAAAACAUACAAAUCAAGAUAAUGUGAUUGUUAAAUUAAAACUCUUUCCAAAGUCAAUAAGUAAUCUUUCACAGCUUACAAGGCCUCAACUGAUGAGCAUUUAUUUAUGCAUUUUGGAUGGCCAUAGGAAUUAUAAAUCUUCCAGAGGCAUCAGAUUAAGGACGAAUUACAAUAAAUAAUAAGUAAAGCGAUUGUCACAAAAAAAAAUUUUAUUUCAAGAAUAAUUAGUGUUCAUAAAGAGUUAUGGAUGCAUUAGCGUUUAUUUAUUCAUUUCAUGUACUGAAUAAAAUGGGUGGCUAACUUAUAUUUAAAUUGUCAAAUGGUUCUGUUUCGGCAAUAUAAACUUGGUACUUAUGUUUUGGAAAAUUUUUAAGAUUAUAUAAAAUACUGUUGCUUGUUUAGGAAAAUAACUGUUUGAUGUUUUGGCAAUAUACCCAAGGUAAUGUUGCACUCCGUUCUAUUGAUAUCUGUAGUUCUAUUAAUCUUUUGAUAAUCAUUUUUUUGAAGUUUGACAGCUUCAGAAACGAUAUUAAUCUCAAUUGUUUUUAUCAUUAAGUUCAAACUUUGAAUUUUCUACUUAAUGAUGUUUUGAGAAGUGGGAAAUUUGUUGUUUAUGCUUUAGAUUGCAUAAGUCCAGACACAAGAUUUGGUUAUGGAAUUGAAUGUAUCCUGUGAAAUCUUUUUACGAUUGAGGGUUCUUUUCUUGGUUACAGUGGUGUCAUUGGGUUUCUGAUAUGCUCAACAGAGGGACCUCAUGUUGAUUUUGCGAACCCCAUUAAUCCUAUUGAGAAGUUGGAUGGAGCUGACAAGCAUAAAAGAGAAUUAAGGUUCUAUACCUCAGAGGUAAAGGCUCCUCAUUUCAAGUCUAGCUUUCCUUGGUCGUUGCUUCUUGAUUCUUUUUCUUAGAUAACCUAAAUGCUUGUGUGGUUGAAUUGUCAUUGAGUUAAUAUUUUGGUAGUGUUACUGUGUUAGAUGAGAAAGUAUGAUGGCCUGCAUUUAAUAUUUGUGUUGUGUUGACAGAUUCAAUUAUAUAGUUGCCUCCGCGUUGCCUGCAUUUUUGAAGAGGGAGGUGAGCGUACUUAGUGAUUCUCCAACUCCAAGUCAACGAAUCUGCGCGUCCUAAUGAUUCAUAGCAAUCAUCCCAUUUAUUUAUGAUUAGCGAGAUUUAGUGCUUCCCAUGUUAUAGUUUAUAGGAUGAUUAUGAUAUAUGUAGACGAGGGGUUACGCCUUGAGCUUGACCUUGGAGACUUUGUUGAUGAUCUGAUUAUAGCAAUGUAUCAUGGUUCUUGUUAAGUAAAUAAGAGCAUCAGCUCUGCCAUAUCAUCAUCCCCACCCCGGGGUGGGUCACCUCAGCCAAAUGGUACGAGCAGAGCACUGAUAAUGAGCCUUAUACAAGCAUGGACCGACCAAAGAUGAGUACCGGCCAGGGGGAUACACCGACCAGAGACAUAUACCGAGCAGAUACUCAUUCCCCAAAGAGCGGGAACACGAUCUCACAAGAUCUCGACAGUUGCGCUUUUCCCAGAACUGUUGAGGGAGACACGAUGUCCCAUGUUUGCCCACAAUGUAGCAGUUGGAGUCCCAUGAGGGGCUGCCAUGACCCGAGAAAGGGGGGAUGAAGGGUGAUCAGAAACGUGGGACAGCGGCUAUAAAAGAGGAAGAAACCAAUGAAAAAGAGAUAAGAAAACUGAGAGAGAGGGAAAACUCUGCCAAAAUGAAACUAGACUGUUUUUCUGCCUAAAUUGAGAGCGAAUCGUAAGCCAUUCUGAAAUCUAAAUUGAACCGUUUUCCCGUAAACACCUUGUGCUAACUUAGGCAUCGGAGGGUUUACGCCGGUAAAACCACCGGCGUCUCUGAUCCAUUUCUUUGUGAAUGCAGGAUUAGCGAGAUAAAAAGGGGUGAUUUCAACCUAGUGACGUAAGCGGUCGUUAAGGCAAGGAGAGAGUGACAUCGUCCCAUCAAACAUAUAAACGUUGGUGGAAAAUCUGGUCGGGUAAAGGGCGAGCAGAUUUCAACAUCAACAGUUCUCAUUUGACAAUUAAUACUUAUUUUAUUAUAUUAAUAGCUUACUUUUAAACUUCAUGAAAAUUAUAUGAUUAUCGUUCAAUUUAGAUUUUCUUUUAUUAUAAAAGUUUUGCCAGUGGCCAUCUUAGCGAUGGAUUGAUUAAUAAAAUUUUCCCAUUAUAGGAUGGAAUAAAUAUUAAAAUCAGGAACACACUAAUUUAAUAUCAUUCGAUGUAUCUCUACUAGUUAUAAUUUCUAUUAUCUUCAUCAUCCAAGUCACCUAAGAAUUUUCCCAUCUUUACUGAGUGCUGACAGUGCCACAAGCAAGCCAAGAUAUUAGUUUGUUAAGUUCUCUUGUGAGUCAACUCUGCGCGCGUGUGUUAGAGCUUGGUAAUUCCAUUACGGACUGAAGUUUAGCAGUUAAAUGCUUACUCCCUUGGUGUACGCAUAAUUUCUGAAUGAUACAUUUUGCUGGAAAAGAGACGGUCCAUACUGCCAUCCGAACUAGAAAUUAGGACAUAGAAAAUAUAUAUAAUCAAACACUAUAACGGAGUAAUGCUAACUUCAUAUAUAUACACAUCAACUGUAUCAGGCUUCGGUUUCGAAUAUCUCAAACUCAUAUACUUCCGUCCAAAUUUAUUCUUGGGAUAGGUCCUUAAUUAAGAUCAUGAACACGCCCUAAAAUACUAACGAUGCCGCAUCUGAUCUGAAUGCUCAAACUAUUAUUUUAGUAGCCGACGCUUGCGCACUCCAUCUAGUUUGUCAGAAUACUUGCAUACGGUAGCUGCAUUGUUUUGCUUAAUUAUCAAUAUUCAAUAGUACCUGCUUUAAAUCAUAUGCCAUAAGAACAAAUGCUUCAACUUUUGUAAGCGCUUGGAUUGUUUUAGUUGAUAUAGGGAGGUUGGAUGAGUUGUGGCCAGCCUUCGCCCAAGCAAUGAGUUCUUCUCCAGAAAAGUCACCACCUUCCAGAUGGUUGUUCAGGUUACCAGAAUUGCUUGAUAAUUCAGUUACCCUCCUGGAAGUGUAGGUCCAUAACUUGCCUUGUAGCACGAAGAGCAUUUGAUCAAUUGGGUUUUCCUCCUGGAUAAUGUAAGAGCGCUCUGUGAAGACAGCUGGCUUCACAACAUCACACAGUUUCUCCAACGAUGAACCAUCCAAGUUUCCAAACUCUUCUACCUAUACAAACAUACAUCCAAUAUUGUUACUGUAAUCUAAAAGGCUCAAUGCUGAUAAUGAAAUUCAGCUUCUGAAUGCAGAAAAUUGAAAAUAAAAGUUGAUCUAGAACUAUCUCAGCUAAAAUGAGAUUCAUUCCCCAACGCUAAAAACAUAUCAGGGUUGAGUUUAUGUUGAGGUGAUGUGGACUUUAGCUAUUGCGCUUUCAAAACCAUGCAAAAGUUCAAAUAGUUACAAACAUUUACCCUUGAGUUUAUUCGAUCGAGUUAAAGAAGAGGAAAAUAUUUUCAUUAGUUUUUCGGAUUGUUGUUUAUAUGCUGCUAGCCUCUCCUUUGUCAGUUCCACAAAUUCAGAAGUAGGAGGCACAAAUAUAGUUGUAAAGAUCUCUUACUCACUUUUUUUAGCAGGUCUAAGCAGAGUUUUUGUUUUAUGUUCUUCCUGAGGUCCUCUGGAAGAUUGUUCACCAGAUAUUCUACAUCAAUACCUGUGGUUUCUUGCACUUUGGAUAACUGAUGUUCCUUGAUCUCCAUUUGGAGUUUCUCAGGGAGCUUUUCAACGGGCCGCCACUUGUAUAUUUCUUGUACCUUCUGUCUUAUCUCCUCUGCUUUUGACAUUUCAGACUGCAAAUUGCGCAAGAAUCAUAGUUCAUAGAAAAUUAAAAUUUAUUGUGCUUCAUCUCAAUCAACCAUAAAGAACCCAUUUUAAGAGACAAGAAUCAGACGAGAAAAUAAAAUAAAAUAAAAUAAAAUAAAGAUACACCAACCUGGACCUUUCCAAUCAAGAAGAAAAACAGCACUACCCCAGUGAUGGUAAUUGAAAUCACAAAGAUGUUUUCCAAGACAUUGGUACUGAAUGGGAGACCUUGACCAAAAGAACUGCAAAGUCAAACCCACAAAUUUAUUAGAACUAAUGUUUUUGAGUUUAAUUGCUAAAAAAACAUAAAAAUACGUAUGCGUAAUUAUAUGCACCAAAAACAUAGAAAGGCAUAUGCACAAAGAUUGUUACAAGGAGAAUGAUGUAUAUCCACAACUUAACCUGAGAUUUUGCAGGCUCCAUCGAAUACAAGGGAAGAACCUCAGAAAUAAAUUGUUUUGCUCAAUAACACUAGAAUUAAUAGCAUCAUAGAAUAUCCCAAAAUGGUAGGUAGUUGCAAUUUGAGUCUUUGUAGAGCAAAAAUCAUUAGAAAAUGUGUAGUUUGUUAAACUGUUGUCACAGUGUAAGGGAAGGAGACGGCAUUUGGCAGAAUCUGUGCAGGCUUUCCUCCAACAUUCGGUCUUUCUUUGUAGAGCAAAAAAGUACCAUAAUGCUCCAAACCCCUAAACAACCAUCAAUUAGAUCAUCAGGAAUUAUAAAUUACCCAAAAAGAGUAAAGAGAAAUAGAAUAUAUUGGAGACUUGGGAGGCAAGUAAACUUACAUUAGCAGCAUGUAGGUAAAAGAGAUUGAACGUGAGCCUGGCCCAUUUAGUUUGUUUAUAUGAAUUCUUCCUUUCUUUAAUCAAUGCAUACAAUCGGAUAACCUUUAGCAAAUGUUGGACAAUAAACAGGUUCAUCACAGAGAAAAAUUUCUUGCCACUCAUCACGUUACUAUAAACUAGAAGCACCAACACCUGAACAGUUUGUACACCAUAAAGAUAGAAUUAUCAAUUAUGAAAUAUGAUUCCAUAUGAAAAGAAAAAAAUUACAACCUGUGUGCUUGCUAGAAAUCCAACAUAAAUUGGUUUGGGCGUCCAUAGGUGUGCGCGCGUGCCCUUGCUUGGCUAAUUGGAACAAAUAAGUAAAAAGUACGACAGAACAAACAUUUACCUGUGGGAGUGGAAGAAUGAUGGCGAGAUCAAAUAGGAAGACGGGCAACAGAGAUAUGCUAUAAUUUCGAUGCCAAUUCUCCCAUAGUUGAAAAGCAUUAUUUAUCAAAAAAUAUAUAUCACAUCCUGUGCGUUCAACAAUACCCACCCUCAAAACCCAUAUGUCAAAUUGGAAGCACUUUUUGUCAUCGUUGAUCACGGGAAGGUACAAGAAAACAGGAUCAAAUACCAUGGAAUACACAUAAAUCAGCAAAAAAUUAACUUCCAGGAAACGUAUCGGCAGAUCACGAAUCUGCUGAAGGCAUGUUUUUCCUCCAUUACCCAAGCUUUCGUUCAGAGUGCGAUAAACAGAUUUUGCUGCUUCUCUCGCGCUCCAACUGAUGCAGUCCAUUUCAACACUAGCAACUCGUCUCGGCGUUCCUUCCUCUAAAUUCAAGUCCCGAGACCUGAAAAAAUAAAGUCAACUUCAUCGUCAUCACCAUAUACGAUAAUUGUAAUAAUACAUAGCUUGCACUUCAGCUCAGUAGGGUUCUAUACGUAUGUCAUUAAAUUAAUAGACAACUCGCUUAAGGCUUACAUAAUCAACGAAGGGGAAGGGAAAUUUAAGUAAAUGAAGCAAAGCUUGAUUUCAGUUUCCUUCAAUUAAAUACAGGUGGAUCCUUCACAAAUCAUCACUUCAGUGGCUGAGUCUUCGGAGUUCAGAGCAUGCUUAUCUUAUGUGCUAAUAAGUAUCUAGACACUGUGGUUCCUCAAGACUUUGACUUCAUGCACAAUUAAUCAAACAACCAAAAAAAAAAAAUUUCCAAUAAAUAUGUAAUUUCUGUAGCACCUUUUGAUUGAGUUGGGGCCGCAGGCAACUAAUAGUUACGACUUGAGGUUAGAACUUAUCCAUAUGCAUAGUCUCAAUCUACGGUUCAUUAACCAAACUUUUGGCCCCGAGAGGCUGCAAGUCUUAUCAUGUCCCUCGUGUUUUUUGCUCACUAGUAGAAUUGGAUCUUUGUGCUUAUUGCUCAAGAUAAAUGUAAGCCUUAACCUGAGAGCUUGCAGGCUCCAUUGAAAACAAGGCAAGUACCUCCGAAAAAAAUAGUUUUGAUCCAAAACACCCGAUUGAAUAGCAUCACGGAAUAUCCCAAAAUCAUAGAUAGUUGCAUUUUGGGUCUUUGUAGAGCAAAAAUCACUAAAAAAUGUGUAGUUUGUUAAACUGUCAUCGCAGUGCAAAGGAAGGAAAUCACAUCUGGUAAAAUCUGUGCAGGCUUUCUUCCAACAUUCAGCCUUUCUUUGUACAGCGAAAAAGUACCAUAAUGAUCCAAACACCUAAAGAACCGUCAAGUAGAUCACCAGGAACUAUAAAUUACCCAAAAAACAGUAAAGAGAAAUAGAACAUUUUGGAGACUUAAGAGGCAAGUAAACUUACGUUAGCAGCCUGUAGGUAACCGAAAUUGAACGUCAGAUUGGCCCAUUUAUUAAGGUUAUAUGAAUUCUUCCAUUCUGUAAUCAAUUUAGCCAAUCGGAUAACCUUUAACCCAUGUUGUACAAGAAACAGGUUCAUCAGAGAGAAAAAUUCCUGGCCACUAAUUCUUUGACUAUAAGCUAGAAGCACCAACACCUGAAUAGUUUGUAAAUAUUAAAAAAAAAAGAAAAUUAAUCGUACAAAAUACAACCUAUACAUGCUUGUGUCAAGGAAGCUCAUUAUGCAUGGAAGGAUGCAGCACACGUGUGAGAUGAAUACAGUCAGCUGAAUCAAUUGAAGAGUGAAGUGCCAGCUCAGCUGAAGUAAGUUAGACACGUUAAGAUCAUAUUCAGUUAGCUUCUUUAUUUUCUGUUAAGCUGUAAACAACUGAGUAUAAAUACAAGCAUCUUGUAAUCAUUUUGUUAUUAAGUAAAAUGAAAUAAAGCAUUUGAUUCAGAAGUCUUUUACAAAUUUUCUUAGCACUUUAAAUACAUUUUCUCAGUAACCAAACAGUCUAUUCAUUCAAGCUUUUAAGCUUUCAAACAUGGUAUCAGAGCCAUACAGAGCUAGUUCUAGUAAUCAACAGUCAAGCUUUCGUAAUCAAACAACAAACAACACAAAUCAAUCUACUCAAAUCAACUUCUCCUUUACUAAUCCUAUCAAGCUAGAUCGAUCAAAUUACUUACUCUGGCGCUCUCAAGUUUUAGCUUCAAUAAGAGGCAAUCGUUUGGAAGAUUUCGUCACAGGAGCCAAAUCAGUACCUGAUAAGUGUCUUCUGUUAACUGAAGCAGAUGGAUCUACACAACAAAUUGAAAAUCCAGAAUAUCAGAUCUGGAGAUCACAGGAUCAGACACUUCUUGGCUGGCUACUGUCGUCAUUAAGUGAAGGUAUCUUAAGUCUUGUAAUCAAUUGUGAGAGUUCAUUUGAUAUAUGGAAAACUUUGGAAAAGAAAUUUGGAGUUCAAUCUGAAGCUCGAGUUCUUCAGCUCAGAUAUGAACUAAACAUUCUUAAAAAGGAAGCUCUUAGUGUUGAAGAUUAUUGUAUUAAAAUAAAAGCAAUAGCUGAUAAGCUAGCCAAUGCUGGUAGUUCAAUUACAGAGAAGGAUCUUAUGUUAACUAUUCUUAAUGGAUUAGGACCAGGAGUUCGUGAUAUUGCUACAUUUAUAAAUGGUUCACGAAUGGAAUUUGAUGAUGCUUAUGCACUGUUACUCACUCAUGAGACUAGAUUAGAGCAGGAGCAAGGUGACAGAAGUAUGUUUAAUGCAAACUAUGCAUAUACGAAUGCAUAUUAUCCUAGAGCUUAUUUUGCACAACGUAGAGGAAGUUUUAAACGAGGAGGUUAUUCUGGUGGUAGAACUCCUUUCUUUGGCAGAGCAAAUAUGAAUUACUCUCCAAGAAUAUUUAAUGGAGGUGUUAGAAAUGGAUAUGGCAGAGGAUUUUUUCCUAGAAAUAACUCAGCUGAUUUCAAUCAUUUUUCAGCUCCUAGGAAUCCAGUACCUAAGAACUCAUCCUUUCUAGCUAGAAAUGGUGCUAAUAUGAGUGGAUCACAAGGAAGCUUUAAUAAUGCUGGGGAGCUGGUAUGUCAGAUUUGCUUUAAGAAUGGUCAUACUGCUGAUGUUUGUUGGCACAUAUUUAUUGAAGACUUUGUACCUGUUCCAAGAGGUUUUGGCAGGGAAAAAACACCAAGAGCAGCAUAUUUCUCAAACUUUGAUGGCUCUACUUCUAAUCCAGAUUUUGGCUAUGAAAAUAAUAAUAUGUUUCCAGGUUAUGAUUCUAUAUCUGGCAAUAGUUACUAUUCUGGAAUGGAUGGAUAUACUUCUGGAGCAGCUGGAACAGCUUUCAUGGCUAAUUUUGAAGGGACUGCUGAUGAUGGAUGGUAUCUGGAUAGUGGGGCAACUCACCAUUUAACCAACAAUAUGGAGAAUUUGCAUAUCAAUGAAGAGUUUAAAGGUACUGAUCAGCUUAUCAUUCGAAAUGGUCAAGGUUUGUCUAUUACUCAUGUUGGACAUGCAUUUCUGGUAUUAAGAGCUUCUAAAUCUUUAUCUACACAUGCUAGAAUAACACUUAAAGAUGUGUUACUUGCUCCUUCAAUUGCCAAAAAUCUAUUAAGUAUUUCCAAACUCACAUCUGAUAAUCCUGUAUCUGUUGAAUUUUGUGGAAAUGUUUGUUUUGUGAAGGACAUAAAGGGUCAAGUUCUUCUGCAGGGUAUUGCUGAAAAAGGCCUUUACAAGCUGCUGCUGAAAUCUAAUUCUCUUUCUUCAUCACCUACAUCUUAUCUUUGUAAAUCCCAACCAAAUAAACCAGUUUCUAUGUUAUCUGCUUUCAAACACUGUGAUAAUAGUACUCGAGCUUAAGAGGAUAGAUCCAAGAGUACCUAGUAUAAUCAUCCACAAAACUAAUAUAGUAUUUGUAUCCAUCUCUAGACACAGUGGGUGAAGGCCCCCAAAGAUCAGUAUGAAUCAAUUCUAAUACCCCUUUUGUUUUUGUUUCAGUUAUUGAGAAAUGUUGCUUAUGGACUUUGCCUAGCUGACAUGCUUCACAUAAAGUAUUUGCAGAAGAUAACAUGUCUUUUGGAGAGACUUUAAACUGUUUACAUGAUUUGAGCAAAUGCACCAAUGUCAUUGAGCUUGGAUGACCAAACUUUCUAUGUAACAAAGUUAUCAUAUCAGGUUUGACAUUACACUUAUUUAAAACAAACUGAUAGCAAGCUCGAGUACUAUUAUCACAGUGUUUGAAAGCAGAUAACAUAGAAACUGUUAAAUCACAAGCAUUUGAAGUUUUUAAAUUGUUCAAAACUCAAGUUGAGAAUCAGUUUGAUACCAAAAUUAAGAGGCUACAAUCUGACCUUGGGGGAGAGUUUAGAGCAUUUAUUGAUUUUCUGAAUCAAAAUGGAAUAAUGUUUAGACACUCAUGUCCUUACACUCAUCACCAGAAUGGUCUUGUUGAGAGGAAACACAUGCAUAUAGUUGAGCUAGGCUUAACCCUCAUGGCUCAAGCAAACCUUCCUUUUCAAUUCUGGUGGGAAGCUGUUCAUACAGCAGUGUAUCAUAUUAAUAGAUUGCCUACCCCUGUUCUGAAAUUCUUAUCUCCUUAAGAGAAACUUUUCAAACACAAACCAGAUUACACAUUCCUGAAGUGUUUUGGUUGUCUUUGCUACCCAUACUUGAGAGAUUUUAACAAACAUAAGUUUGAUUUUCACACCUCUAAAUGCAUUUUUAUUGGAUACAAUCCCUCUUAUAAAGGAUACAAGUGCUUAGCAAGUUCUGGCAAAGUCUAUGUUCUUAGACAUGUCAUUUUUGAUGAAAACACAUUCCCUUAUCCAAUAAACACUACAUCUCACUCAUCAGAAAACCCCAUAUCUUCUGAAACCUCAGUGUCUAAUUUCUCUCAACAACAUAUCUAUCAUCUUUCUACAAUGGCCUUACCCAACAGCAGCUUUGAAGGUCUUCAAUCAGCAGGCUCAGCAAGAAGUGAACAAAUGCCCUCUGUUCCCACACAUACAGAUAUUCUGAAUCAACAAGAACAUCCAUCACACACAUCUUUAGAGUUAUCAUCCUCAACCUCACUAUCACCAAACACAUUACCAGUACAAUCAUCCAUUCUACAAUCAGAGGAAACUUCUAUUCCACAGAACAUAGACCAAAUUCAAACCAGAAAUCAUUCCCAACCAUCUUCUCAUCCAAUGAUUACCAGAUCAAAAUCUGGAAUCUUCAAACCAAAGGUCUAUACAGUCACCUUAGCCAACAAAGAACCUAGUACAGUUCAAGAAGCUCUUAGUAGUCAGAAUUGGCAUCAAGCCAUGGUAGAUGAGUAUGCAGCUUUGAUAAAGAAUGAGACUUGGUCACUAGUACCAUUUUCAAAUGCAUACAAAGUAGUUGACAACAAAUGGGUGUUUAGACUUAAGCAAAAUACUGAUGGAAGCAUAGCCAAACACAAGGCCAGGUUGGUUGCCAAAGGUUUUCAGCAAACUGAAGGUGUGGAUUACUUUGAGACCUUUAGCCCAGUUGUAAAAGCUUCAACGGUAAGGAUUGUUCUGAGUUUAGCUGUGAUGCAUAAAUGGAAAAUAAGGCAAGUGGAUGUGAAUAAUGCCUUCUUGAAUGGAAACUUGACAGAGGAUGUCUAUAUGUAUUAGCCUGAAGGUUUUAUUGAUCAACAAAAACCCAAUCAUAUAUGUAAGCUUAAUCAAGCCUCGUAUGACUUGAAGCAAGCUCCUAGAGCUUGGUAUGACAAGCUUAAGAAUUGUCUUAUUGCUAAUUGGAAAUUUCAGAAUUCAAAGGCUGAUACCUCUCUCUUCUUCAAAGAAGUGCAGGGUUCAAUGAUACUUAUCUUAAUCUAUGUUGAUGACAUUCUAAUAACAAGACCUGAUAAUGGUGAGCUGGAAAAAUUCAUCUAAGAAUUCAGUAAGACUUUUGCCUUAAAAGACUUGGGAAUUCUGUCAUAUUAACAUAGACAAAAUUCAAACUAGAAAUCAUUCCCAACCAUCUUCUCAUCCAAUGAUUACCAGAUCAAAAUCUGGAAUCUUCAAACCAAAGGUCUAUACAGUCACCUUAGCCAACAAAGAACCUAGUACAGUUCAAGAAGCUCUUAGUAGUCAGAAUUGGCAUCAAGCCAUGGUAGAUGAGUAUGNNNNNNNNNNNNNNNNNNNNNNNNNNNNNNNNNNNNNNNNNNNNNNNNNNNNNNNNNNNNNNNNNNNNNNNNNNNNNNNNNNNNNNNNNNNNNNNNNNNNNNNNNNNNNNNNNNNNNNNNNNNNNNNNNNNNNNNNNNNNNNNNNNNNNNNNNNNNNNNNNNNNNNNNNNNNNNNNNNNNNNNNNNNNNNNNNNNNNNNNNNNNNNNNNNNNNNNNNNNNNNNNNNNNNNNNNNNNNNNNNNNNNNNNNNNNNNNNNNNNNNNNNNNNNNNNNNNNNNNNNNNNNNNNNNNNNNNNNNNNNNNNNNNNNNNNNNNNNNNNNNNNNNNNNNNNNNNNNNNNNNNNNNNNNNNNNNNNNNNNNNNNNNNNNNNNNNNNNNNNNNNNNNNNNNNNNNNNNNNNNNNNNNNNNNNNNNNNNNNNNNNNNNNNNNNNNNNNNNNNNNNNNNNNNNNNNNNNNNNNNNNNNNNNNNNNNNNNNNNNNNNNNNNNNNNNNNNNNNNNNNNNNNNNNNNNNNNNNNNNNNNNNNNNNNNNNNNNNNNNNNNNNNNNNNNNNNNNNNNNNNNNNNNNNNNNNNNNNNNNNNNNNNNNNNNNNNNNNNNNNNNNNNNNNNNNNNNNNNNNNNNNNNNNNNNNNNNNNNNNNNNNNNNNNNNNNNNNNNNNNNNNNNNNNNNNNNNNNNNNNNNNNNNNNNNNNNNNNNNNNNNNNNNNNNNNNNNNNNNNNNNNNNNNNNNNNNNNNNNNNNNNNNNNNNNNNNNNNNNNNNNNGAAAAACAACACUACCCCAGUGAUGGUAAUUGAAAUUACAAAGAUGUUUUCCAAGACAUUGGUACUUAACGGGAGACCUUGACCAAAACAACUGCAAAAGUCAAACCCACAAAUGUGUUAGAACCAAUGUUUUGAGCUUAAUUGAUAAAAAACACAAACAUACGUAUGCUUUAAUAUAUGCACAAAAAACAAAGAAAGGCGUACACAAAAAGAUUGUUAAGAGAAGAAUGAUGUAUAUUCACAACUUAACCUGAGAGUUUGCAGGCUCCAUUGAAAACAAGGCAAGUACCUCCGAAAAAAAUUGUUUUGAUCCAAAACACCAGAUUGAAUAGCAUCACGGAAUAUCCCAAAAUCAUAGAUAGUUGCAUUUUGAGUCUUUGUAGAGCAAAAAUCACUAGAAAAUGUGUAGUUUGUUAAACUGUCAUCACAGUGUAAAGGAAGGAGGCCACAUCUGGUAAAAUCUGUGCAGGCUUUCUUCCAACAUUCAGCCUUUCUUUGUACGGCGAAAAAGUACCAUAAUGAUCCAAACACCUAAAGAACCAUCAAGUAGAUCCCGGGAACUAUAAAUUACCCAAAAAAACAGUAAAGAGAAAUAGAACAUUUUGGAGACUUAAGAGGCAAGUAAACUUACGUUAGCAGCCUGUAGGUAACCGAAAUUGAACGUCAGAUUGGCCCAUUUAUUAAGGUUAUAUGAAUUCUUCCAUUCUGUAAUCAAUUUAGCCAAUCGGAUAACCUUUAACCCAUGUUGUACAAGAAACAGGUUCAUCAGAGAGAAAAAUUCCUGGCCACUAAUUCUUUGACUAUAAGCUAGAAGCACCAACACCUGAAUAGUUUGUAGAUAUUAAAAAAAAUAUAUAUAUUAACCGUACAAAAUACAACCUAUACAUGCUUGCUAGGAAUCCAACAUAAAUUACUUUGGGCGGUCAGAGGUGUGCGUGUGUGCCCCUCCUUCGCAAGUUGGAACAAAUAAAUUAAAAGUAGACAGAAC